GUUUUUGUAGCUUAAAUACCAAAGCAAAGCACUGAAAAUGCUUAGAUGAGCCCUGAGGGUUCCAUAAACA
This 70-nucleotide transfer RNA is filed under the name Soriculus nigrescens (Himalayan shrew). RNAcentral's name for it is "tRNA-Phe". It matches the Rfam family "tRNA". Rfam says of the family: Transfer RNA (tRNA) molecules are approximately 80 nucleotides in length. Their secondary structure includes four short double-helical elements and three loops (D, anti-codon, and T loops). Further hydrogen bonds mediate the characteristic L-shaped molecular structure. tRNAs have two regions of fundamental functional importance: the anti-codon, which is responsible for specific mRNA codon recognition, and the 3' end, to which the tRNAs corresponding amino acid is attached (by aminoacyl-tRNA synthetases). tRNAs cope with the degeneracy of the genetic code in two manners: having more than one tRNA (with a specific anti-codon) for a particular amino acid; and 'wobble' base-pairing, i.e. permitting non-standard base-pairing at the 3rd anti-codon position. RNAcentral also lists the same sequence under 1 other name. The record is from RNAcentral. Lineage: Eukaryota; Metazoa; Chordata; Mammalia; Eulipotyphla; Soricidae.